UCAGAGGCCUGCCUGAUGCCCAUCAGCAUGAGGGACUCGAGUCUUCAGCCUCCAUCAUCACAGCACAAAGACAUCUGGACGAUUGUCAAGGACGUCACAAUCUCUGUGAUAGCUGACAUGUCCCAUGGGGCAUUGCUGAAAAAGGAAAGCAAAGUUACUGUUGCGUGAGCAAAUACAGCAUGGAUGGUUCCAUUAAUGCAGUUAUCUUGCAGUGCUGACUGGGUGCUGUAUACGAGCUAGCCCAGCAUCUAUAAAUAUGCUCUUCUACAAGGCAGGGACCCUGGAUGACACUUGCACAGGUGCAAACACCAAUCACAGAGAUUCAGUGUUUGUCUGAUGAACCAUUGUUUCAACAAUCUACUGCCCUCAAACUCAGCUUUUCAGCCUCUCUCCCCUGUGUGACGGUUUUCAGGAAAAACAA
Molecule: long non-coding RNA, 421 nt
Organism: Puntigrus tetrazona (Sumatra barb)
Lineage: Eukaryota; Metazoa; Chordata; Actinopteri; Cypriniformes; Cyprinidae
Exons: 3
Source: RefSeq, a predicted model, not a curated record